UCAGCUUGUUGGUGGGGUGAUGGCCUACCAAGGCGACGACGGGUAGCCGGCUGAGAGGGCGACCGGCCACACUGGGACUGAGACACGGCCCAGANUCUACGGGAGGCAGCAGUGGGGAAUAUUGCACAAUGGGCGGAAGCUGAUGCAGCGACGCCGCGUGAGGGAUGACGGCCUUUCGGGUUGUAAACCUCUUUCAGCAGGGACGAAGCGUAAGUGACGGUACCUGCAGAAGAAGCGCCGGCCAACUACGUGCCAGCAGCCGCGGUAAGACGUAGGGCGCGAGCGUUGUCCGGAUUUAUUGGGCGUAAAGAGCUCGUAGGCGGCUUGUCGCGUCGACCGUGAAAACUUGGGGCUCAACCCCAAGCCUGCGGUCGAUACGGGCAGGCUAGAGUUCGGUAGGGGAGACUGGAAUUCCUGGUGUAGCGGUGAAAUGCGCAGAUAUCAGGAGGAACACCGGUGGCGAAGGCGGGUCUCUGGGCCGAUACUGACGCUGAGGAGCGAAAGCGUGGGGAGCGAACAGGAUUAGAUACCCUGGUAGUCCACGCUGUAAACGUUGGGCGCUAGGUGUGGGGGGCCUCUCCGGUUCCCUGUGCCGCAGCUAACGCAUUAAGCGCCCCGCCUGGGGAGUACGGCCGCAAGGCUAAAACUCAAAGGAAUUGACGGGGGCCCGCACAAGCGGCGGAGCAUGCGGAUUAAUUCGAUGCAACGCGAAGAACCUUACCUGGGUUUGACAUGGCCGCAAAACUGUCAGAGAUGGCAGGUCCUUCGGGGGCGGUCACAGGUGGUGCAUGGC
This 793-nucleotide ribosomal RNA is filed under the name Micromonospora sp. RNAcentral describes it as "bacterial SSU rRNA". It matches the Rfam family "Bacterial small subunit ribosomal RNA", at positions 241 to 1049 of the family's 1533-position model. Lineage: Bacteria; Bacillati; Actinomycetota; Actinomycetes; Micromonosporales; Micromonosporaceae. The record is from RNAcentral.